GGGCCCAUAGCUCAGUUGGUUAGAGCAUCUGACUCAUAAUCAGAGGGUCGUAGGUUCGAGUCCUACUGGGCCCA
This 74-nucleotide transfer RNA is filed under the name Spirochaetota bacterium. Its description in RNAcentral is "Spirochaetes bacterium (freshwater sediment metagenome) tRNA-Ile". It matches the Rfam family "tRNA". Rfam says of the family: Transfer RNA (tRNA) molecules are approximately 80 nucleotides in length. Their secondary structure includes four short double-helical elements and three loops (D, anti-codon, and T loops). Lineage: Bacteria; Pseudomonadati; Spirochaetota. The record is from RNAcentral.